Molecule: long non-coding RNA, 8253 nt
Filed under: Homo sapiens (human)
Lineage: Eukaryota; Metazoa; Chordata; Mammalia; Primates; Hominidae
Description: HSALNT0098194
Source: RNAcentral
GCAGCCAUGUAAGAGGUGCCUUUUGCUUUCUCCCAUGAUUGUGAGACCUCCCAACCACAUGGAACUUGAGCCCUGAAGCAUGGCAUUGAGAAGCUGCCUAAGAAGGAGGCAGAUCCAUCAGCCUGGGUGCCCGACUGAUUACCCUGAGCAGAGCUCCCCAGCCCACCUGUGAUGGACGCAUGGAGCUUGAGCAAGGAAUAAAUAUUCGUUGCUGGAGCCCAGCUGGGACAAUGUGUGAAUCAACGCAUGAAGGAGUGAGUGAGCAGCUAACCAAAUGAAAGAAUACUCAGAUAUCUGGGGUACAGUUCCCCUCCAGGUUUGCACAGCAUCUGCUGAAGUCUCCACUAGAAACUCAAUGGAAGGUCCCCACCGGAAACUGAAAGUCUCCUAGAGUGGCUUUGAGUUGCGGUUUCACCCUCCCUGCAGAUCCACAGGGGAGGCUGGGGCAGAUGGAAAAUACCAACUUGAUGGUCUGUGGCCACACCAUGCUGCUCCCCAAGGCCCCUCAGAAUUUCACUGCCCAAUAUGGUAGCGCCCAGCCUGAAACGUGGCCAGUGUGAAUUGAGAUGGGCUGGAAAUGCACCAGACUUCCAAGAGCUGGACAAAAACCAUAUACUUUCCAUCCAGCUGUUUGGCAUUGGAUACUGCUGCCUCUGCUUGACUUGAGAAUGUGUGAGAAAAGCUGUGUUUAGACAACUGAAAACCAUGAGCUUGAAAGUAGUGGGGGCACACUCUUGGAGACUCCAGUUGCUCACCAGCUUGGACAAACCACUGGACUCAAAUGAUCAGGUAGAAAUUCAUCACUGGAGAGAACACAGUGGAAUGGCUUCAGCGAAAACUCACUCUGAAGGUCUUCAGGGCAACUUUAAGACUUGCCCCUGGCCGGGCACAGUGGCUUAUGCCUAUAAUCCCAGCACUUUGGGAGGCCGAGGCGGGUGGAUCACCUGAGGUCAGGAGUUCAAGACCAGCCUGGCCAAUAUGGCGAAACCCUGUCUCUACUAAAAAUCCAAAAAAUUAGCCGGGCGUGGUCGUGGGCGCCUGUAAUCCCAGCAACUCGAGAGGCUGAGGCAGGAGAAUUGCCUGAACCCGGGAGGCAGAGUUUGAAGACAGCCGAGAUUGCACCACUGGGCAACAAGAGCAAAACUCCAUCUCAAAAAAAAAAAAAAAAAAAAAAAUACUUGCCCCGGCUUUUUGUGUGAUGGACUUUCUAUUUACAGACGUGAUAUUUAUCUAUGACUUUACUCAGAGUCUGGCUCAUAGACCAGAAGGACUGGUAUCUCCUGGAGCUUGCAGGAAAUGCAAAAUCUCAAACCCCUGUAUUAGUCAGGGUUCUCCAGAGAAGUAGAGCCAAUGGGAUAGAGACAGGGAUAGGGAUGAUAGAGAUGGAGAUAGAGGUAGAGAUCCAUUGAUUCCUCUGUUAAUAAAUUGGCUCAUGCAGUUGUGACAAUUUCGAAAUCUGCAAGGUAUGUCAGCAAGCUGGAGACCCAGGGAACAGUUGAUGUUGCACCUUGAGUACAAAGGCAGUGUGUCUGGAGCCAUAAUAUCUUCUUGUUAGGAAGACUUUGGUCUUUUCUCUUCUGGCCUUCAACUGCUUGGGUGAGGCCCGUCCCCACUACAGAAGACAAUAGUCUGUUCUACUCAGAGUCUACUGAUUUAAAUGCUCAUCUCAUCCCAAAAAAUACCCUCACAGCAACAUUUAGCCUGUGCAUUUGACCAAACAACUGGGUACCAUGCCCCCCCUCCCAAGUUGACACACAAAAUUGACCAUCAUACCCUCCCCACCCCCAGUCUUACUGAAUGAGAGAGAAUCUGUGCUUCAACAAGAUCCCCAGAAGAGGUAUAAGCGCAGGGAAGUCUGAGAAGCACCACCUUUGAGGCUUAUCCAGGAUGCCCACAUGAGCCUUCUCUGGAUAUGUCAGAUCCCCUUCCUGGCCCCCUAGACACCUCCUCCACUCCCCAAACUUGGAAGCAACAUUGUGGGGAAGCAGGCAGUGAGGCGCUCAGUCUACCACGUUGUGAGAUACACAGCUCCAUCUGUGUAUCAUGAUUUGAUCCAAGGGAAAACAAAAGAUCCAGAAACAUAAGUACUUUUUUGUGAGCUCUCAAAAACUUCCUGUGACAAGAUCAGGUCGUUGAUGCGAGAGCCACACUUGUUUCUUUUUCCUCUUUAUUCUCCACCUCUGACAUAAUACUUAGCAUAAAAAAAAAUCCAAUAAACACCACUGAAUCAAUUAUCUAAGCCUCAGUUUCCCUCUUGUAAUAUGUACUUACCUGGUUGUGGUAGGAAAGACACCAGGCAUGAGAAACACUUAAAAGCCCAGGACCCUGAGCUGGGCACAUGGUAGGUACUCAGGAAGUCAUUGCCGAGUGUUCAGUGCAUGCUUGUUGAAUGAGUAAAUGAGGUCAGGCUUCAGCAUGCAAACACUCGCUAUAAAGCAGGAACCCUGUGCCCUGAGUGCACAAAAUAGAUAUCGAGAAGGAACACAGGCUCAGACAUCAGUGCCAUAUCUGAAGACAUUCAGCUAAUAACAGGAUGGAGUCCAAUCUGCUGGUGUGUGCACACCUGUGCCUGGGUGUCUUUGCUGGUGUGUGCACAUGUGUCUACAUGUGUGGUCGUGAGAGUACACACAGGGGCUGGAGGGUGGGGAAGGGCUUAAUCUAAUCCUGAAAGUGCCAGCAGAACUCUUGGGUGUCCCUCAAAGUCAAGCUUCUUUCCAGGUCAUCGAAGUUUUCACUUGGGUAAUAAUGCACGCAUAAUUAACUGAACAAAUAUAAUGAAUCUAUCUGUAGUGACAUGAUAGUUGGUGCUGAAUCCUAUUAGAGCACAUUUAAUUAAAAAUGCAUUAAACCUUCAAGCUUCUAAACACACCCUGCGCUUCUUCAAAGCCGCCCCUCCGUUAAAGUCUUCCCCACUAUUAACUAUGAGUCAGCCUGUGACCCUUUGGGCAUGACGGGGUGAGGUGAAGUGGCUCUUAAAUGCCUGUGCCAGUAUAUCACAGGCACUAAUGGAUUUAAAUCAGGGAGAUUAAUUCCAUUCAUUCGGCUCCUCAUUUCAGAAACAACUGUCACGCUGAGCCUAAUUGCUGAAGAUGGUUGAAGGCACCAGGAGGCUGGAGUUUCCUGGAGGUGGUUUGUGGCCAACCGUCAAUUACUUGGGCUGCUGUGCAGUGGGGAUAGAAGGAUGAUUAGAAUCCACAGACAACCCAUUGGCCUUUGUUUACCAUUAACUUCUGUUUUCUCCACCAGCCAAGCUCCUCCAGACCCAGGAGAUGGCUCUUCCCUCUGUGUAGCACACUCUUUCCAGUCAAGGGGUCUUGCACUGCUAUUUCCCCUUCUGCUUUGCUUGGUUCAUUCUUACUGACCCUCCAAAUACUGAAGGAAUGAAUGGAGAAAUAAGUAAAUGAGAGAUGUGGCCAAGAGUCUCCAAGAGAGGAAAUUAAAAAAUCCUAUACCUGUGAGGAACUGGCCCACUUGCAAAAGGCGGACUCAUUUGUCACUGUGUUUGCUGGCUGCUCGCACCACACAGUUUCCAGCCUAGGCAUUAUUUCCAACCUCUUUUUCCAAAGGGUCUUUCUAAGGUACAGAAAAUGGACAUAAAAUCGCCCAACGUAGUUGAGAGGUAAGGAGUAAAAGCCGGAAUUUGAACUCCUAAUCUCCUGCCACGAUUUCAUGCUGCCUCUGGGUAAUCUCCCAGCACGUUGCUUAAUCAGCUGCUGAGUCAUUGAGAGCCGGCAGAACCAGCUUCCUGCUGAGGCAGAGUGGGAGGAGGCCCGUCUGGGAGCAGCACACUGAAGGAAGGGAGGAGGAGGUGAUGUUUGGCACAAUCGGAUUGGUUCCCAUGAGGUCCAGGGCUGCGGCUCCUACAGAAGGCACUUUUUGCAUAUGGUAGGCUUCACGGGGUGCAACCUCUGUGUUGUUAGGAGAACCUCGUGCUUGCUAUGAUGCUCUGCUGUCAUUAUCUUGAAAUUCUUAGUCACAUUAAAACACGGGAGCCUACAUGUUUAUUUUGCACUGGAUCCUGCAAAUUAGCCAGUCCUGGUACUGAGGGCAGGUCCCUGGGUGAGUCUCACACAGCCUCCAUCCUUUGGUAAAGCAGCUUUCCUGAUUUAGCAAAUGCCUUACCAGAAAGCCUUUUCCUUGAAGAUGCUUUAACUUUUGUCUUCCCUGGCAAAGCUGUUUCCUUAUGGUAAAGCACCCAGCUCAUAGCUGAUAUUCAAUCCAUGAAGUAGCUCUGUCAGCAGCUGUCAUCAUGAAGACUUUGCAGCCUGCGGGUGGUAGCAUUCUGAAUCGUCAGUCUGUCUCGCUCCUGUAGCAAAUGCACGAUCCGGGAAAGCAUGUCCCAAGCUUUGUUCUGGAGAAGAUUUCUCCAGCUAUCAGAUGGUGUCUGUCAUCACAAUAGCUUAGGAGAUGCUGCUCACUCCAUCCUCCUCACUAAGUGUCACAGUACACUUGGGUAUGUACAAGUCUCUGAGAAGUCCAGCAGCAAAGACACCUUUGUGUUUUGCUGAUUCUAGCCUUUCCUAGACUAGAAGUCUUUUUUUCUAGUCUAGGAAAAGACUGUGGAAUCUUUUCUUUUUUUUCCUGAUACACACAUUCACAUUCCGUGGAACAUUUAGGACGUGGUUAUCUGGUCCUAAAGUAGUAAAGGUGAAGAUGUUGUGGGAGGUGCAAGAAAGAGCAGCAAGGAGUAGAUGGGGCACACUGCAAAGUGCGAUCCCCACAUACCUAAGUUAGUAUCAAUUACUACUAACAAAACUCGGCCAAGACUCUUUUGCAUUCGUUUUGUUUCUCUCUUUUACCCUGAUUAUAUUAAGAAAUAUGACAGGCCUGUGACUCACUGAUUAGACCAUCUUAGUCACUUUGGGUUGUCCCAGCAACAGGAGACUUAACUCUGACCAUAGGUAAGGAGCCCAGAGGACAGGAGAGCAGGGAUUUCUGAGGAUUUAACAAAUGCUUAUAAACAAAUGAUAUCACUUUGAACAAAGUAAUCAAAGUAUCAAAUGCUAUAAACACCACAGUAGGGCAAUGUGUGAAUCAUACUUGUGGUGAGACAUACAUAGAUCAGCUGCAAAGAGGAACUCAAUUCUGCAGAACCUCAGCUGGAGUAACUGAUGUGAAACAUGGACAGGGAAAUGGAAGGAAGUCAGCGGACACGGAAACUCUAGGAACUGAACUUUGACAAGGAACGCCGUCCAUAAUCCCAAGUCCUAUGACUUCAUAGAGGAAAAAAACCCUAGUGGAGCAGAACAGGGCCUCAUAGAGGGGCUGGGGCCUCACUGAGGGCUGGGAAGUUUGAUAGGACUUCCCUUGCUGGUAAGGAACAAAACUGGGUCUCAGGUUCAGGUUUGUAAAGCUAAUUUCAUACAUUUGCAGCAGAUGCUGUCAGUGUCCCUCCCCAAGCCCCUCAGCACUCAGCAUUCAUAGACAUCCUCAUCUUGCAAGCACCUGAGUCUCUCUCUGUAAGGUUUCUGUUGGCCUCAGGGCAGACCAGGGUACCAGGGAGGGCAGACCAGGGUACCAGGGAGCACAGCCCUCAAAGAAAGAUGACAGGAGUUGGUGUAAAUCUCAUGGCUUUCAUGUUACUUAGGGGGACCAAUGCUGAGGCAUGCUUAGCAUGAUCCUCUGUGAGACUGGGCCUCAGGUGUCCGCUGCAGCCGCCUGUUCAUUAGUGUGACAUGCACGGGAUUCCUUCCGUAUCCUGGCCCCUUUCUCUACUUCCCAACCGUGCUUCCUGAGACAUACUCAAAUCCUUGUCUCACACUUGGCUUCUGGGAGAAUCCAACUGCAAAUGCUGUGUUUUAUUUUUUAUUUAUGUAUUUAAUUAUUUGGAGAUAGGGUCUCCCUCUGUCACCCAGGCUGGAGUAAAAUGGCACAAUCCUAGCUCACUGCAAUAUUAAACUCCUGGGCUCCAGUAAUCCUCAGCCUCCAGGAGCUGGAACUACAGUCGUGCACAGCAAUGCCAGCUAAAGUUUCCUUUAAAUUUUUUGUAGAGUCAAGAUCUCACUAUUUCAGUCAGGUCUUGAACUCCUUGCCUCCCAAAGUUCUGGGAUUACAGCACUUGGCCUCCCAAAGUGCUGGGAUUACAGGCGUGAGCCACUGCAUCUGGCUGUUUAUUCCAUUAAAAUGAUUGAAGGAGUCUCUUGCUUUGGGAAUUUUGCUCCCGUGGUGAGAACACUAUGGGAAUGACAUCUCAAGAAUAUGGCUCCUUCAAAUGAAUUUAAAAUGGUCUUUCUAUUUUUGUCCAGUGGUUACAAUAGCUGAUGGGCUCGAGGUAAGGAGAUGCUAAGCUGCCAUUCUCUCCUUCAACCCAUGGCAUUUACUGAGCUUCUAAAUCAGUCAGGCCCUGGGCUGGACCCUGGGCAUGCAGACUGAAUCAGAGCCUUCAGGACUAGCAGGAGAGACAGGUAUAUAUAGUGGCAAGGGCAAUAUUUAUUCACUCAUUCAUUCUUUUUCCUUUUUUAUGUGCCAAAUCUUUAAUGAGGGCCUACCUUGUACUCAGGAACACCAGGAAUAAACAGAAAACAAAAAGAUAUCAUUUCUGGACUCAGUUCACCAUCUAGAGAAAAAAAAAAAAAAAAAAAAAGACCUGAAAUGGACAAAUACAGUACUGUUUGACAAAUGUCACGUAAGAAGAAGCCCAUGAUACUGAGGAUGGUAUAGGAGGGGCCGUAUCCAGGUUGAAGGAGUCAAAUAUGACAGCUGCCGUGAGAAUUACAAUCAGAAAACCAUGACCCGGAUGCUUAUCCUAUUCAUUGCUUGAGCCUGAGAACACAAACACACAGGGUGUGGCUGAAAUUCCUCUGAAAUUGUAUUGAUUUGAGAAAACUGCAAUCUUGUGUUAAAAUGUGAAUCAUACACAAGGAUGCAAAACAGUUACCGCUGACCAUAAAUCUAGGCUAUCAGAAUGGAAUCUGAUGGCUUGUCUACCAGACUGCAUUGUGAAACCAAUCAAAUGGGAGAUAGACUCACCACUUACCAAGUACCUCUGAGACACCAGGCACCCUGUGGGGUGCCCUACUCAUCAUCUUGUUUAACCAGUUGAUUGGGAAUAGCUCCAUUUUACAGAGAAAGACUGUUAGGCAGCUUUCUAAGAUGGCCCUAAUUAUUCCUUCCUUCUGGUAAUCCCCUUCCUUUAAAUGUGGGCUACACUUAAUUACCUGCUUUUAACAAACAGAAUAUAGCAAAAGUGAUGGGAUGUCAGGAGACUGAAUCAGUAACCAAAAACCUCCAGACAAAGAAAAGCCCAGGGCCAGAGGGCUUCACUGGUAAAUUUACCAAACAUUUAAAGAAGAAUUAGCACCAGUCUUUCUCAAACUCCUCAACAAAUUGAAGAGGAGAGAACACUUCUAAAUACACUUUAUGAGGCCAGCAUUACCCUAACAUCAGAGCCAGACAAAGACACAAGAAAAGAAAACUACAGACUAAUAUUUCUAAUGAAUCUUGAUGCACAAAUCCUCAAAAAAGAAGAAAACAUACUAGCAAACAUAAUUCAGCCGCACAUUAAAAGGAUUAAGCACCAUGACAAAGUGGGAUUUAUUCUUAGUAUAAAAGGAUAUUUCAACGUAAAAAAGUCAAUGUAAUAUAUCACAUUAAUAGAAUGAUGAGAAAAAAUCCACAAGAUUAUCCCAAUUGAUGCAUUUAACAAAACUUAAUACUCUUUCAUGAAAAAACACUCAACAAACCAGGAAUACAUGAAACUACCCCAACAUAAGACAGUCCACAAAUGAAAAGCUCACAACCAACAUAAUACUCAUGGUGAAAAGCUGAAAGCUUCCUCUAAGAUCAGGAAUGAGACAAAAAUGUCCACUUUUGAAUCAACCUGUAUUCAACAUAGUAUAAGAAGUCCUCGCCAGAAUUUUCAGGAAAAAAAAAAAAGAAAGAAAAAAAAGCCAGUCAAAUUGAAAAGAAAGAAGAAAAAUUAUCUUUGCUCACAAAUGACAUGAACUUAUAAAACUCCUAGAAUUAAUAAAUGGAUGCUGCAAUGUUGAAGGAUACAAAAAUCAACACACAAAAAUCAGUUAUGUUUUUAUAUACUAACAAUGAAUGAGCCAAAAAUGAAAUUAAAACAAUUCCAUUUACAAUAGCAUCAGAAAGACUAAAAUACCUAACAAUAAACUUAACCAAGGAGGUAAAAUGCUUGAGUAUUUAGACACUAAAAAUUAUAAGGCCUGCACGGUGGUUCAUACCUGUAAUCCCAGCAUUUUGGGAGGCAGGUGGAUCACUUGAGGUUAGGAGUUUGAGACCAGCCUGGCC